Molecule: transfer RNA, 66 nt
Filed under: Turdus rufiventris (rufous-bellied thrush)
Lineage: Eukaryota; Metazoa; Chordata; Aves; Passeriformes; Turdidae
Description: tRNA-Ser
Source: RNAcentral
GAGGGGAGGUAGAACCAACGAGAGCUGCUAACUCUUGCAUCUGGAGCUAAACCCCCAGUCCCCUUA